RNAcentral lists this signal recognition particle RNA (148 nucleotides) under Chlorocebus sabaeus (green monkey). RNAcentral's name for it is "Metazoan signal recognition particle RNA". It matches the Rfam family "Metazoan signal recognition particle RNA". From Rfam's summary of the family: The signal recognition particle (SRP) is a universally conserved ribonucleoprotein. It is involved in the co-translational targeting of proteins to membranes. The eukaryotic SRP consists of a 300-nucleotide 7S RNA and six proteins: SRPs 72, 68, 54, 19, 14, and 9. Lineage: Eukaryota; Metazoa; Chordata; Mammalia; Primates; Cercopithecidae. The record is from Rfam by way of RNAcentral.
GCCAGGCAUGGUGGCGCAUGCCUGUAAUCUCAGCUACUCAGGAGGCUGAGGCAGAAGAAUUGCUUGAAUCCAGGAGGCAGAGGUUGCAGUGAGCCGAGAUCAUGCCACUGCACUCCAGCCUGGGUGACAGAGCAAGACUCUGUCUCAG